Molecule: transfer RNA, 72 nt
Filed under: Camelus bactrianus (Bactrian camel)
Lineage: Eukaryota; Metazoa; Chordata; Mammalia; Artiodactyla; Camelidae
Also listed under: 2 other names
Rfam family: tRNA
About the family: Transfer RNA (tRNA) molecules are approximately 80 nucleotides in length. Their secondary structure includes four short double-helical elements and three loops (D, anti-codon, and T loops).
Source: Rfam by way of RNAcentral
GAGGGUAUAGCUCAGUGGUAGAGUGCACUCCUAGCAUGCAUGAGGUCCUGGGUUUAAUUCCUAGUACCUCCA